UACAGAGGGUGCUAGCGUUGUUCGGAAUCAUUGGGCGUAAAGAGCUCGUAGGCGGUCUGUCGCGUCUGCUGUGAAAACUCGGGGCUUAACCCCGGGCCUGCAGUGGGUACGGGCAGACUAGAGUGCGGUAGGGGAGACUGGAAUUCCUGGUGUAGCGGUGAAAUGCGCAGAUAUCAGGAGGAACACCGGUGGCGAAGGCGGGUCUCUGGGCCGUAACUGACGCUGAGGAGCGAAAGCAUGGGGAGCGAACAGG
Molecule: ribosomal RNA, 253 nt
Filed under: uncultured bacterium
Lineage: Bacteria
Description: partial 16S ribosomal RNA
Rfam family: Bacterial small subunit ribosomal RNA
Source: RNAcentral